CGGUGACCCAGGAGGAGCGAAGGUGUCACCGGGCCUGCCUCUCUUCCACCGAAUGACCAGUCUCUUCCCUGAGGCCUCCCGAUCCCUCUCCGCGCUUUCAACCUAAGAAGACUCCGAGAUCCCGCAGCUUCCCUGGGUCACUCCCCGCACCCAUUAGGCCUCUCCAGACUACCUGCCAUGAACCAGAGGUUUGAAAGCAGCAGGGGAAACCGGAACAACAUAGCUGCAGAGGGUAUGCAGAGUAGGGGCAAUGAAUAGAGUGGUCGAUCAAGGAAAGUCUUAAGAGAGAUGAGGAAACCAAAACUCCCAGAGGGAACCUUGCCUAAGACAGCACAACCAGGGAGCCAUAGAGCUGAUGCCCAAAUCUUCUGAUCACGCAGGGACUGAGAACACUCUUCAUCACACCCCAAUUGCUUCUUUGGUUGCAACUCCUACCAUGUAGCAUCUUUUCCUUACAAAGUGACUGACACUCCCCUUCUCCUGGGAUAGAGCCUUCCUUGACUGUAAAGGAAUCAGUGACUUUUGUUCUCUUGUUCCCUGACCACAGCACCAUUUCUGCUCAUAGAGUAUUGUUUGGUGCCUUACUGAAUGUCUCACCUUGUGAGGGUGUUAGCCAGAUGGUCUUUUUUCCUUCUUCAUUUUCUUCUUUUUUUUGGCCAUGCCUUGCGGCUUGUGGGAUCUCUGUUCCCUAACCAGGGUUUGA
Molecule: long non-coding RNA, 703 nt
Organism: Lagenorhynchus albirostris (white-beaked dolphin)
Lineage: Eukaryota; Metazoa; Chordata; Mammalia; Artiodactyla; Delphinidae
Exons: 3
Source: RefSeq, a predicted model, not a curated record